CAGCAGGUAUAUAAAGGAAUCUUCUUCCUCAGCAUCACAGUUGGCUUCCCUUCAUCAGUGCUUAUACUUGUGCACGCAUCAGGAUGGCGCGCGUUAUCCUGCUGGUGCUGCUGGCCCAUCGCCGGGCCCUGCCUUGGCGCCAAGCUGCCUACCAUUCCCGGCGUCCGCGAAGGCAGCGGGCAAGCAGGUUUUCCCGGACCUCUUCUCCUCCCAGAACGCGCCUGAGUGCCUACCUCCCGCCGAUCCCAGAGCCCUGCAUCCCUGAAACCGUGACCAGGACGGAGACCACCACCGGUCACCUCGUAUGGCGGCACCACCAGGGACCAGCGUCCAGCACCAGAUUCCAGACGCAAACGGUGACCAGCACACAGCGCCAGGUAGUCCACCUGUGUACACCACCUCCUUCGUCCAGGAAGUGCAACCCACCACCAUCCGCACCACCGUUUAUUCCACCAGGUUCACUACCCGAAUCCAGACCGGCACCACCUCCUUGCCCGGAGGCAGGUGAACACGGUCACCCGGACACAGACACAGGUGGUCACUCGCACUCAGACCCGCACUCAGGUGUCCACAAGGGUCACCACGAUUGGCAGCACCGUCACCAGUACGCAAGUCCUCCACCCAGGUUAUUCCCACUACCUACACCCGCACCGCCAUCCAGACCAGGACAGAGUUGGUGACCCCGCACCUUGCCUGCCGUCACAAGCACGCGCGUUGGAGACCAAAAUAAGGACCACAGGUGGUGACCAGCACCACGCCAGGCCAAACCCGCACCAUCACGGUGACGCAGGUCAACACCGCCUAUGUCACCAGAACCUCCACGCUGCCGCAGCGCACCGUCACAGUCAUGUCCACGCUCGUGAACACCGUGAGGAGCACCGUGGUCAGCACCAUGGUCAGCCACGCGGAUCGAUGACCAACAAAUGACCCGCACCCAGACGGUGACCCGCUCCACCGCGGUGGUCACCACCCGCCAGGGUGGCCUCCACUGUACUCAGCACACGUGUGGUGCAGUCCACUGCCACUAACUUCCCAGACAACCACGCAGGUGGUGCCCAGCACAGCAGUUGUGCAGAUCACCGUCACCGACACCAGGCAGCUAAACGAUCGCGACUCCACCCGGGUAGUGACGGUGACCACCACCAGCACAGUGACCAGUAGCGGCGGCACUCGCACCACACAAGUGGUGAACUACGUAGAUAGGACAACCUUGGUGACCAGCUACAUCUCCACCCUCGUUGCCCUCCACCGUGAUCCGCACCACCACCCCUGCCCCUGCACCGCCACUGGAUACAAGUACGAAGAGCCCGCGAUUAAGUUCCCGGUCGGUUAACUGCCUCUUCGGUGAUCAAGUGAGGUGCAGGAGGCUGGCUGGCUCACCCACUAACUUAUGACCUCUUCACUGCCCAUAUAUGAAAUUGGUCUUUAGUUUCAAUAAACAUCACCGUGACAAAUUCCUCACACAACGCAUGUUUCGCUCUUCGGAGGGAAGGAGGGGUGAGCGAAGAGCAUGUCAAGUGAGCUCCAGAAAAAAAAGAAGUGUAAUCGCACUUGAUUUUGUGUUAACUCAUACGUAAUUCUGACAGUUUCUGUUACUUCCGACAAAAAAAAAACAUGAUUGAAAAUAGUGUCUCGGGGCAUCCCUUCCCUUCCCCUCACUCUGCCCCGACACUCGCCUGGCAGCUUCCACCCAUCGCUCCUCCCACCCACACCCCUCCCGCAUCAACAGUAUCAAUGAAACACUAAACUGACGGGCAGUUUAUUACAUACUUUGAUAAACUACUGACGACGUU
Molecule: long non-coding RNA, 1793 nt
Organism: Scylla paramamosain (green mud crab)
Lineage: Eukaryota; Metazoa; Arthropoda; Malacostraca; Decapoda; Portunidae
Exons: 2
Source: RefSeq, a predicted model, not a curated record